RNAcentral lists this transfer RNA (90 nucleotides) under Elstera litoralis. Its description in RNAcentral is "tRNA-Ser". It matches the Rfam family "tRNA". From Rfam's summary of the family: Transfer RNA (tRNA) molecules are approximately 80 nucleotides in length. Lineage: Bacteria; Pseudomonadati; Pseudomonadota; Alphaproteobacteria; Rhodospirillales; Rhodospirillaceae. The record is from RNAcentral.
GGAUGGGUGGCCGAGGGGUUUAAGGCAGCGGUCUUGAAAACCGCCGAAGGUGUGAGCCUUCCGUGGGUUCGAAUCCCACCCCAUCCGCCA